UGGGGAAUAUUGCACAAUGGGCGAAAGCCUGAUGCAGCAACGCCGCGUGAGUGAUGAAGGCCUUCGGGUUGUAAAGCUCUGUCUUUUGGGACGAUAAUGACGGUACCAAAGGAGGAAGCCACGGCUAACUACGUGCCAGCAGCCGCGGUAAUACGUAGGUGGCAAGCGUUGUCCGGAUUUACUGGGCGUAAAGGAUGCGUAGGCGGAUUUUUAAGUGAGAUGUGAAAUACCCGGGCUUAACUUGGGUGCUGCAUUUCAAACUGGGAAUCUAGAGUGCGGGAGAGGAGAAUGGAACUCCUAGUGUAGCGGUGAAAUGCGUAGAGAUUAGGAAGAACACCAGUGGCGAAGGCGAUUCUCUGGACCGUAACUGACGCUGAGGCAUGAAAGCGUGGGUAGCAAACAGGAUUAGAUACCCUGGUAGUCCACGCCGUAAACGAUGAGUACUAGGUGUAGGAGGUAUCGACCCCUUCUGUGCCGCAGUUAACACAAUAAGUACUCCGCCUGGGAAGUACGAUCGCAAGAUU
Molecule: ribosomal RNA, 524 nt
Filed under: uncultured bacterium
Lineage: Bacteria
Description: partial 16S ribosomal RNA
Rfam family: Bacterial small subunit ribosomal RNA
Source: RNAcentral